This 396-nucleotide ribosomal RNA is filed under the name uncultured bacterium. RNAcentral describes it as "partial 16S ribosomal RNA". It matches the Rfam family "Bacterial small subunit ribosomal RNA", at positions 523 to 918 of the family's 1533-position model. The record is from RNAcentral.
AUACAGAGGGUGCAAGCGUUAAUCGGAUUUACUGGGCGUAAAGCGCGCGUAGGUGGCUAAUUAAGUCAAAUGUGAAAUCCCCGAGCUUAACUUGGGAAUUGCAUUCGAUACUGGUUAGCUAGAGUAUGGGAGAGGAUGGUAGAAUUCCAGGUGUAGCGGUGAAAUGCGUAGAGAUCUGGAGGAAUACCGAUGGCGAAGGCAGCCAUCUGGCCUAAUACUGACACUGAGGUGCGAAAGCAUGGGGAGCAAACAGGAUUAGAUGCCCUGGUAGUCCAUGCCGUAAACGAUGUCUACUAGCCGUUGGGGCCCUUGAGGCUUUAGUGGCGCAGCUAACGCGAUAAGUAGACCGCCUGGGGAGUACGGUCGCAAGACUAAAACUCAAAUGAAUUGACGGGG